Molecule: ribosomal RNA, 468 nt
Filed under: uncultured bacterium
Lineage: Bacteria
Description: partial 16S ribosomal RNA
Rfam family: Bacterial small subunit ribosomal RNA
Source: RNAcentral
GACGAACGCUGGCGGCGUGCUUAACACAUGCAAGUCGAACGGAAAGGCCCUGCUUUUGUGUGGUGCUCGCGUGGCGAACGGGUGUGUAACACGUGAGUAACCUGCCCUUGACUUUGGGAUAACUUCAGGAAACUGGGGCUAAUACCGGAUAGGAGCUCCUGCUGCAUGGUGGGGGUUGGAAAGUUUAGGCGGUGGGGGAUGGACUCGCGGCUUAUCAGCUUGUUGGUGGGGUAGUGGCUUACCAAGGGUUUGACGGGUAGCCGGCCUGAGAGGUUGACCGGCCACAAUGGGACUGAGAUACGGCCCAGACUGCUACGGGAGGCAGCAGUGGGGAAUAUGGCACAAUGGGGGGAAGCCUGAUGCAGCAACGCCGCGUGCGGGAUGACGGCCUUCGGGUUGUAAACCGCUUUCGCCUGUGACGAAGCGUGAGUGACGGUAAUGGGUAAAGAAGCACCGGCUAACUACGUG